AAUGGUACCGGCAGCAGGCGUCCAGGGCUGUGAACCAGGCCAUUGGGCGGGUCAUCAGGCACCGCCAUGACUAUGGGGCCAUCUUCUUGUGUGACCACAGGUUCACCUAUGCAGAUGCCAAAGCCCAGCUGCCCUCCUGGGUGCGCCCCUACCUCAAGGUGUACAACAACUUUGGCCAUGUCAUCCGGGAUGUAGCCCAGUUCUUCCGUGUUGCUCAGAGAACUAUGCCCGCCCCAGUCCCCAGGGCUUUGGCCCCAGGUGUGGGUGAGGGAAAAGCUGCUGCCAAGGUGACCACAUUGCCUGGACCUCUCCUCGCAACCAGAAAAGCCACAAGUCUAGACGUGCAUGUGCCCAGCCUGAGGCAGAAGCCAGCAGGAUCGCCGGCUGUGGAGGACCCAGAGAGCAACCUGUGUGUGGAGUAUGAGCAGGAGCCAGUCACAGCCCCGUGGAGGCCCAUGGGGCUGCUGGCUGCCCUGGAGCACAGCGAGCAGAAGGCUGGGGCACCUGGAGGAUGAGGCCUACCCUGGGAAGGAGGUGGUUUAGGGCAGGGAGGGAGAUGCCUGAGGAUGACAUGGCCCCUCCACUCCUGAGGCCAGCCCAGGCCCUACCCAUUUGGCCUUGGCACCUUUCUUACUCCUUGGUUCCCUUCCCAGUGGGCAGGUGGACAGAUAGACCCCCGGUCAUGCUGUGCCCGUGGCCCCAGGCCACUUGCUACCCAGAGAGGUGCACCCUGACCCUCAGCUCCCACUAUACUGGCUCCCGGCAGGUCAGCCUGCACAGCCCACAAGUGUGGUGCCUCCUGCCACCUGCUCACCCAGAGCUGGUCUUUCUUAGGGCCUGGUCUGUGGGAUGGGCCCCAAGUUCCUUUCUCCCCUUUACCUAUGGCCUUUGCCUAAUAGCCCAUAGUUUUCUGAGCUUCACUUGGAGCUCCUCCCUGCUUCCUGCUUAUUCCUGGGAGCCAUUCCUUCCCCUCCAUGCCUGCUUGGGAGGCCCCUGAGCUGAGCCUGUGCUCACAGCCCACACUUAGCACAAAACUGUCCUUGUGGCUGCUGUCACACGCUACCUACAAGCCAUGAGGGCUGGUGGCUUAACUCAGAAGAUGGUGUGGAGGUCUGGCAAGACCUCCUCCCACACCGGCUUCUGUUCAGGCUCUUACCAGGGAUCGUGGGGAGCCGAGGGAUGUCACAGGUACUCUCAGGGUUGGGUUGAGACCACAGCUGUGUCCCCUUUAGGCAGUUGGUCGGUCUACCCUGUCCCUUCAGUGUGAGAAGAGGCUGGCUGAUGAGCAGAGAGGAGGAAGGAAGAAGGUCAGGCUGGUCAGCCACCAGGCCCUGAAGGUCUACAAGGGUUCCGGGAGACCUCAAAGCACUGAUGGACUGCCUCAGUUGCCUCUUUGCUGAAGACCCCAAGAAGCACACCCUGCUCCAAGGCUUCUACCAGUUUGUGCUGGCCCCACCACAAACAGCAGUUUAAGGACAUCUGCAUUCAGCUCACUGGUCAAGGCUGCAGUAGCUGGCCAGAGCCUGGCCUUUCCCACAGGCAGCAGGCACUGCCAGCCCUGGGGCCCAGUG
RNAcentral lists this long non-coding RNA (1571 nucleotides) under Heterocephalus glaber (naked mole-rat). RNAcentral describes it as "lncRNA (ENSHGLG00000043673.1)". Lineage: Eukaryota; Metazoa; Chordata; Mammalia; Rodentia; Bathyergidae. The record is from RNAcentral.